Molecule: ribosomal RNA, 380 nt
Filed under: uncultured eukaryote
Lineage: Eukaryota
Description: partial 18S ribosomal RNA
Rfam family: Eukaryotic small subunit ribosomal RNA
Source: RNAcentral
CAAUAGCGUAUAUUAAAGUUGUUGCAGUUAAAAAGCUCGUAGUUGGAUUUGUGGCGUACGGUGGGUUCCGGGCACUUGUUGUCUGAGUAACUUGCUGUUGCCAUCCUUGGGUGGAACCUGUGUGGCAUUAGGUUGUCGUGCGGGGGAUGCCCAUCAUUUACUGUGAAAAAAUUAGAGUGUUCAAAGCAGGCUUAUGCCGUUGAAUAUAUUAGCAUGGAAUAAUGAGAUAGGACUUUUUUGCUAUUUUGUUGGUUUGCGCAAAGAGGUAAUGAUUAAUAGGGACAGUUGGGGGUAUUCGUAUUCCAUUGUCAGAGGUGAAAUUCUUGGAUUUUUGGAAGACGAACUACUGCGAAAGCAUUUACCAAGGAUGUUUUCAUUAA